UUGCUGACGAGUGGCGGACGGGUGAGUAAUGCUUGGGAAUCUAGCUUAUGGAGGGGGAUAACUACGGGAAACUGUAGCUAAUACCGCGUAAUAUCGAAAGAUUAAAGUGUGGGACCUUCGGGCCACAUGCCAUAGGAUGAGCCCAAGUGGGAUUAGGUAGUUGGUGAGGUAAAGGCCUACCAAGCCGACGAUCUCUAGCUGGUCUGAGAGGAUGACCAGCCACACUGGAACUGAGACACGGUCCAGACUCC
Molecule: ribosomal RNA, 251 nt
Filed under: uncultured Actinobacillus sp.
Lineage: Bacteria; Pseudomonadati; Pseudomonadota; Gammaproteobacteria; Pasteurellales; Pasteurellaceae
Description: partial 16S ribosomal RNA
Rfam family: Bacterial small subunit ribosomal RNA
Source: RNAcentral